RNAcentral lists this non-coding RNA (28 nucleotides) under Rattus norvegicus (Norway rat). The record is from RNAcentral. Lineage: Eukaryota; Metazoa; Chordata; Mammalia; Rodentia; Muridae.
UAGCAAUUGUUUGGUGUGAAGAUGAUGU